This 375-nucleotide ribosomal RNA is filed under the name uncultured bacterium. RNAcentral's name for it is "bacterial SSU rRNA". It matches the Rfam family "Bacterial small subunit ribosomal RNA", at positions 524 to 898 of the family's 1533-position model. The record is from RNAcentral.
UACGAAAGGGGCAAGCGUUGUUCGGAAUUAUUGGGCGUAAAGGGGGUCUAGGCGGACCGUUAAGUUACUUGUAAAAGCACGGAGCUCAACUCCGUGAAGCAGGUGAUACUGGCGGACUAGCGUACGUGAGAUGUGAACGGAAUAAUAGGUGUAGCGGUAAAAUGCGUAGAUAUCUAUUAGAACACCGGAGGCGAAGGCGGUUCACAUGCGCGCAACUGACGCUGAAGCCCGAAAGCGUGGGGAGCAAACAGGAUGAGAUACCCUGGUAGUCCACGUUGUAAACGAUGUAUGCUAGACGUUGGAGGAAUCAACCCCUUCGGUGUCACAGUAAACACGAUAAGCAUACCGCCUGGGGAGUACGCUCGCAAGAGUGAA